GACGAACGCUGGCGGCGUGCUUAACACAUGCAAGUCGAACGGAAAGGCCCUGCUUUUUGGGGGUGCUCGAGUGGCGAACGGGUGAGUAACACGUGAGUAACCUGCCCUUGACUUGGGGAGAACUUCAGGAAACUGGGGCUAAUACCGGAUCGGAGCUCCGCCUGCAUGGUGGGGGUGGGAAAGUUUCGGCGGUUGGGGAUGGACUCGCGGCUGAUCAGCUUGUUGGUGGGGGAGUGGCUUACCAAGGCUUUGACGGGCAGCCGGCCUGAGAGGGUGAACGGCGACAUUGGGACUGAGAUACGGCCCAGACUCCUACGGGAGGCAGCAGUGGGGAAUAUUGCACAAUGGGCGGACGCCUGAUGCAGCAACGCCGCGUGCGGGAUGAAGGCCUUCGGGUUGUAAACCGCUUACGCCUGUGACGAAGCGUGAGUGACGGUAAUGGGUAAAGAAGCACCGGCUAACUACGUG
Molecule: ribosomal RNA, 468 nt
Filed under: uncultured bacterium
Lineage: Bacteria
Description: partial 16S ribosomal RNA
Rfam family: Bacterial small subunit ribosomal RNA
Source: RNAcentral